Molecule: ribosomal RNA, 440 nt
Filed under: uncultured bacterium
Lineage: Bacteria
Description: partial 16S ribosomal RNA
Rfam family: Bacterial small subunit ribosomal RNA
Source: RNAcentral
CCUACGGGCGGCAGCAGUGGGGAAUAUUGGACAAUGGGGGGAACCCUGAUCCAGCGACGCCGCGUGAGUGAAGACGUAUUUCGGUAUGUAAAGCUCUAUCAGCAGGGAAGAAAAUGACGGUACCUGACUAAGAAGCCACGGCUAACUACGUGCCAGCAGCCGCGGUAAUACGUAGGGGGCAAGCGUUAUCCGGAUUUACUGGGGGUAAAGGGGGCGUAAACGGUGCCGCAAGUCUGAUGUGAAAGGUCGGGGCCCAACCCCUUGACUGCAGUGGAAACUGUUGAGCUGGAGUAGAGGAGAGGUAAGCGGAAUGCGUGGUGUAGCGGUGAAAUGCGUAGAUAUUAGGCGGAACACCAGUUGCGAAGGCAGCUUACUGGCCUCCAACUGACGUUGAGGCACGAAAGCGUGGGGAGCAAACAGGAUUAGAUACCCUUGUAGUC